Hippocampus comes (tiger tail seahorse) is the source of this 113-nucleotide long non-coding RNA. RefSeq lists it as uncharacterized. The record is from RefSeq and is a predicted model, not a curated record. Lineage: Eukaryota; Metazoa; Chordata; Actinopteri; Syngnathiformes; Syngnathidae. The transcript is spliced from 2 exons.
GCUUGUGCUCCUAAUCCUGGUGAUCCUACUGGCUCUCUGCAUGAGGAAAAAGACCUCCCCCUCCUCCAGAGUGCAACCCAACGAGCUCCGACAGCCUGAAGAGGUGAUGCUUU